AUGCACGCUGGCGGCGUGCCUCAUACAUGCCCGUCGAGCGAACAGACGAGGAGCUUGCUCCUCUGACGUUAGCGGCGGACGGGUGAGUAACACGUGGAUAACCUACCUAUAAGACUGGGAUAACUUCGGGAAACCGGAGCUAAUACCGGAUAAUAUAUUGAACCGCAUGGUUCAAUAGUGAAAGACGGUUUUGCUGUCACUUAUAGAUGGAUCCGCGCCGCAUUAGCUAGUUGGUAAGGUAACGGCUUACCAAGGCAACGAUGCGUAGCCGACCUGAGAGGGUGAUCGGCCACACUGGAACUGAGACACGGUCCAGACUCCUACGGGAGGCAGCAGUAGGGAAUCUUCCGCAAUGGGCGAAAGCCUGACGGAGCAACGCCGCGUGAGUGAUGAAGGUCUUCGGAUCGUAAAACUCUGUUAUUAGGGAAGAACAAAUGUGUAAGUAACUAUGCACGUCUUGACGGUACCUAAUCAGAAAGCCACGGCUAACUACGUG
Molecule: ribosomal RNA, 496 nt
Filed under: uncultured bacterium
Lineage: Bacteria
Description: partial 16S ribosomal RNA
Rfam family: Bacterial small subunit ribosomal RNA
Source: RNAcentral